RNAcentral lists this ribosomal RNA (942 nucleotides) under uncultured bacterium. RNAcentral's name for it is "bacterial SSU rRNA". It matches the Rfam family "Bacterial small subunit ribosomal RNA", at positions 398 to 1349 of the family's 1533-position model. The record is from RNAcentral.
CGCCUGAGGGAUGACGGCGUUCUGGUUGUAAACCUCUUUCAGUAGGGAAGAAGCCUUUCGGGGUGACGGUACCUGCAGAAGAAGUACCGGCUAACUACGUGCCAGCAGCCGCGCUGAUACGUAGGGUACAAGCGUUGUCCGGAAUUAUUGAGCGUAUAGAGCUCGUAGGCGGUCCGUCGCGUCUGCUGUGGAAACGCAAGGCUCAACCUUGCGCGUGCAGUGGGUACGGGCGGACUAGAGUGCAGUAGGGGAGUCUGGAAUUCCUGGUGUAGCGGUGAAAUGCGCAGAUAUCAGGAGGAACACCGGUGGCGAAGGCGGGACUCUGGGCUGUUACUGACGCUGAGGAGCGAAAGCAUGGGGAGCGAACAGGAUUAGAUACCCUGGUAGUCCAUGCCGUAAACGUUGGGCACUAGGUGUGGGGCUCAUUCCACGAGUUCCGCGCCGCAGCUAACGCAUUAAGUGCCCCGCCUGGGGAGUACGGCCGCAAGGCUAAAACUCAAAGGAAUUGACGGGGGCCCGCACAAGCGGCGGAGCAUGCGGAUUAAUUCGAUGCAACGCGAAGAACCUUACCAAGGCUUGACAUACACCGGGAUGUGCCAGAGAUGGUUCAGCCCUUUGGGCUGGUGUACAGGUGGUGCAUGGUUGUCGUCAGCUCGUGUCGUGAGAUGUUGGGUUAAGUCCCGCAACGAGCGCAACCCUCGUUCUAUGUUGCCAGCACGUGAUGGUGGGAACUCAUAGGAGACUGCCGGGGUCAACUCGGAGGAAGGUGGGGAUGACGUCAAAUCAUCAUGCCCUUUAUGUCUUGGGCUUCACGCAUGCUACAAUGGUCGGUACAAAGGGCUGCGAGACCGUGAGGUGGAGCGAAUCCCAGAAAGCCGAUCUCAGUUCGGAUCGUAGUCUGCAACUCGACUACGUGAAGUCGGAGUCGCUAGAAUCGCAGAU